This 385-nucleotide long non-coding RNA is filed under the name Olea europaea subsp. europaea. Lineage: Eukaryota; Viridiplantae; Streptophyta; Magnoliopsida; Lamiales; Oleaceae. The record is from RNAcentral.
UUCGGGCUCAGAUCACGCAUUGUACCCGUCUGUUCAAUGUGAAAACUCAUAAACCACAGUCCCAAACCACAAACACAGAGGUAGUCACUACAAUGGACCCAAAUCACUCAAACACGAACAAGAAACUCUCCACAAAUCACAUCCGAACAGUCACACGGACUAGAAGCACACAUAGUGGCCAGAAAACCAAAGGUUUAGUGGCUAAAUCACAAGAUUCAUGAAGAAGGAGAAGAGAUAGAAGACAUAGAGUCACGAAGAGAGAAACCCAGAAGGUUUGAGAGAAAAUAUCACGAAGAGGCAAAGUAAAAUAUGACUCGAAUUAGGGCAAAAAGACUCAGACCCCGUUUAUAUAUUAAUAGGGCAUCACCGUAGAUGUUAGGUUAAG